GGAUCUAUAGCUCAGUUGGUAGAGCGCCUGCCUUACAAGCAGGAUGUCAUCGGUUCAAAUCCGGUUGGAUUCA
Molecule: transfer RNA, 73 nt
Filed under: Villophora microphyllina
Lineage: Eukaryota; Fungi; Ascomycota; Lecanoromycetes; Teloschistales; Teloschistaceae
Description: tRNA-Val
Rfam family: tRNA
About the family: Transfer RNA (tRNA) molecules are approximately 80 nucleotides in length. Their secondary structure includes four short double-helical elements and three loops (D, anti-codon, and T loops). Further hydrogen bonds mediate the characteristic L-shaped molecular structure. tRNAs have two regions of fundamental functional importance: the anti-codon, which is responsible for specific mRNA codon recognition, and the 3' end, to which the tRNAs corresponding amino acid is attached (by aminoacyl-tRNA synthetases). tRNAs cope with the degeneracy of the genetic code in two manners: having more than one tRNA (with a specific anti-codon) for a particular amino acid; and 'wobble' base-pairing, i.e. permitting non-standard base-pairing at the 3rd anti-codon position.
Source: RNAcentral